GCUGGGUGUGGUGGCUCACACUUGUAAUCCCAGCACUUUGGGAGGCUGAGGCGGGAGGAUCACCUGAGGCCAGGAGUUCAAGACCAGCCUGGCCAACACGGUGAAACCCUGUCUCUA
Molecule: small RNA, 117 nt
Filed under: Pongo abelii (Sumatran orangutan)
Lineage: Eukaryota; Metazoa; Chordata; Mammalia; Primates; Hominidae
Description: Metazoan signal recognition particle RNA (ENSPPYG00000038671.1)
Source: Rfam by way of RNAcentral